GAAACAACUCUCAGCAACGGAUAUCUUGGCUCUUGCAACGAUGAAGAACGCAGCGAAAUGCGAUACGUAUUGUGAAUUGCAGAAUUCCGCGAAUCAUCGAGUCUUUGAACGCAAGUUGCGCCCGAGGCUCGUCCAAGGGCAUUUCCGCUAGAGCGUCACC
Molecule: ribosomal RNA, 160 nt
Filed under: Pinnatella mucronata
Lineage: Eukaryota; Viridiplantae; Streptophyta; Bryopsida; Hypnales; Neckeraceae
Description: 5.8S ribosomal RNA
Rfam family: 5.8S ribosomal RNA
About the family: 5.8S ribosomal RNA (5.8S rRNA) is a component of the large subunit of the eukaryotic ribosome. It is transcribed by RNA polymerase I as part of the 45S precursor that also contains 18S and 28S rRNA.
Source: RNAcentral